ACUCCGGUUGAUCCUGCCGGCGGCCACUGCUAUCAAGUUCCGACUAAGCCAUGCGAGUCAAGGUAUCGUAAGAUGCCGGCAAACUGCUCAGUAACACGUGGAUAAUCUAACCUUGAGUAAGGGAUAACUUCGGGAAACUGAAGGUAAUACCUUAUAAUUGCUUAAAACUGGAAUGUUUUUGCAAUAAAAGUUACGACGCUCAAGGAUGAGUCUGCGACCUAUCAGGUAGUAGGUGGUGUAAUGGACCACCUAGCCUCAGACGGGUACGGGCCCUGGGAGGGGUAGCCCGGAGAUGGACUCUGAGACAUAAGUCCAGGCCCUACGGGGCGCAGCAGGCGCGAACACUGUGCAAUGCGCGAAAGCGCGACACGGGGAGCUUGAGUGUCUUGGCAUAGCCAAGACUUUUCUCAUUCCUAAAAAGCAUGAGGAAUAAGUGCUGGGUAAGACGGGUGCCAGCCGCCGCGGUAACACCCGCAGCACGAGUAGUGGUCACUUUUAUUGAGCCUAAAGCGUUCGUAGCCGGUUUUGUAAAUCUUCAGAUAAAGCCUGAAGCUUAACUCCAGAAAGUCUGAAGAGACUGCAAGACUUGAGAUCGGGUGAGGUUAAACGUACUUUCAGGGUAGGGGUAAAAUCCUGUAAUCCCGGAAGGACGACCAGUGGCGAAAGCGUUUAACUAGAACGAAUCUGACGGUAAGGAACGAAGGCUAGGGUAGCAAACCGGAUUAGAUACCCGGGUAGUCCUAGCUGUAAACAUUGCCCAUUUGAUGUUGCUUUUCCGUUGAGGGAAGGCAGUGUCGGAGCGAAGGUGUUAAAUGGGCCGCUUGGGAAGUAUGGUCGCAAGACUGAAACUUAAAGGAAUUGGCGGGGGAGCACCGCAACGGGAGGAAUGUGCGGUUUAAUUGGAUUCAACGCCGGAAAACUCACCGGGAACGACCUGUGCAUGAGAGUCAACCUGACGAGCUUACUCGAUAGCAGGAGAGGUGGUGCAUGGCCGUCGUCAGCUCGUACCGUAGGGCGUUCACUUAAGUGUGAUAACGAGCGAGACCCACAUCUUUAAUUGCAAAUGUAUAUGAGAAUAUGCAUGCACUUUAGAGAAACCGCCAGCGCUAAGCUGGAGGAAGGAGUGGUCGACGGCAGGUCAGUACGCCCCGAAUUUCCCGGGCUACACGCGCAUUACAAAGAACGGGACAAUACGUUGCAACCUCGAAAGAGGAAGCUAAUCGCGAAACCCGUCCAUAGUUAGGAUUGAGGGCUGUAACUCGCCCUCAUGAAUCUGGAUUCCGUAGUAAUCGCGGGUCAACAACCCGCGGUGAACAUGCCCCUGCUCCUUGCACACACCGCCCGUCAAACCAUCCGAGUUGGUGUUGGAUGAGGUUUAAUUCGAGAGGGUUAAAUCAAAUCUGAUGUCGGUGAGGAGGGUUAAGUCGUAACAAGGUAUCCGUAGGGGAACCUGCGGAUGGAUCACCUCCA
This 1470-nucleotide ribosomal RNA is filed under the name Ferroplasma acidiphilum. RNAcentral's name for it is "bacterial SSU rRNA". It matches the Rfam family "Archaeal small subunit ribosomal RNA". Lineage: Archaea; Methanobacteriati; Thermoplasmatota; Thermoplasmata; Thermoplasmatales; Ferroplasmaceae. The record is from RNAcentral. RNAcentral also lists the same sequence under 2 other names.